AGGUAAACUGCGCAUACUGAAGGAGGAACUCGGUACAAAUAAGCAAACCCCAGACCAGUGUCUAUCUCCCAGUGAUCCAAACUGGUAUUUCUGGUCGGAGAAGCAGGAGUGGGUGCAUCUCCGGGCGGCUGCAGGACUCGGCCCCAGUCGCCCCCCCUCCAACUCCCCGGCCGCAGCGGCUGGAGGCCCCACUCGCUGCCCCUGGCGUACCUGGCUCUCGGCGGCGGGGAUGCCGGACUCCAGCUCGCACAGCGCGCGGAAGUUAUGCAGCUCGAAGUCGGCGUCGACCUGGAGGGAAAAGGUCACCUCGGAGAGGUCCCUCCGCACACAGUACACGCUAGCACGGCCGUCGCCACCCGCCUGCGAGCCCGUCUGCCUGCCGGCCUGCCUCCCACCGCUGCCGUCAAGCGCGGGCCGCCCGGCGCCCCGCCCCGCUGCAACGCGGCUGCCGUAAAGCGCC
Long non-coding RNA from Microtus oregoni (creeping vole), 460 nucleotides. RefSeq lists it as uncharacterized. The record is from RefSeq and is a predicted model, not a curated record. The transcript is spliced from 3 exons. NCBI's taxonomy places the organism in Eukaryota, Metazoa, Chordata, Mammalia, Rodentia, Cricetidae.